UCAUGCAACAUGUCUUGGAAAGGCUUAAGUCUGUUGCUGCUAAUGGAUGCUCAGUAAAUAUUUGUUUUAUCACAUGAAUGAAGUUCCUGUGCCAGAUAUGCAAAAAUGGAGAAUAAAAUCCCACCUCACUUUAGAUAGAUCCCCGUGUUGCCAAAAGAACAGGAUUCCAUGAAUUUGACUUUCUGAACUUUAUAGGAAAUGCUGGCCCAACAUCAUCCCAUAAUUUUGUGAGUGGUUCACUAAGAGCAACCAGAUACUCUUGACCUAUACUGACCAUUAUGGUGGUUCUAGCCACAAUUGGUAUUUCAACAAAUUUUAAUUAAAUUGUAUUCCCACAUUUGCCUAGUGGCUACAUUAUUGGACAGUGCAAGUAAAGAACUUUCUAUCAUCACAGAAAAUUGAAUUGGACAGCUUGUUCUAGAUGCCUCGGUUGAAUGGACACAUUUGACAUCUCUGAAGUUUCAGGUGAUAUGUGACCGCAGAAAUGGAGCGAAGUGAAACGUUCAGACAUCUUCCUGCGCACAGUGACGCGCUCAGGGAAAGAGCAGAAGUUCGACUGUUGUGAAGCUGGCUGUGGUUCUGAUGGUGAGACACUUGGUCGCCUUGCCCAGCUGGGCCGCAGCCACUUGCUCUCCCACUUGGCAUGGUAUCUUCUACACAGUCAGUACAUACUGCUAGACUUGCCGAUGAUGGACAGAAUGUUUUCUUUAGAAAUCCAGUCUCAAGAUGCUCUGAAGAGAUAAGGAAAACCACAUUGAAGGAGUAUCUGAGUAGGCCAGAAAUGAAGAAAUGCACUGCCCGUGGAUUCAAUACACUGUCGGACAUGGAUCGAUAUCUCAGAGAGAAAUCCAGAAAAACACUUAAAAGAGACUUCUGCAUACCAGGAAACUAAGGAAAUACCCACAUUGAAACAGGAGCUGACAAGGCCUGGCCUUCUGUAGUCCCUUCCGGUGUACAGAGAAAGUGACAGCUUUCAUUGGUCCUGCAGGGUCCUCUUGGAACUGCAGGGUCUUCUUGGAACUGCUCAUCCCAGCUCGCUCCAGCAAUAAAACCCAGCAUCUCUCUGGAAGGUAGACUAUACAACCACCCUGACUUUUCCAGUUGCUGCUCGACAACCUGG
This is a long non-coding RNA of Hyaena hyaena (striped hyena), 1120 nucleotides long. RefSeq lists it as uncharacterized. NCBI's taxonomy places the organism in Eukaryota, Metazoa, Chordata, Mammalia, Carnivora, Hyaenidae. The record is from RefSeq and is a predicted model, not a curated record. The transcript has 3 exons.